AUACGGAGGGUGCAAGCGUUACUCGGAAUCACUGGGCGUAAAGCGCGCGCAGGCGGGCUGAUAAGUUGGAUGUGAAAGCCUACGGCUCAACCGUAGAACUGCAUCCAAAACUGUCAGUCUAGAGUGUGGGAGAGGAAGAUGGGAUUAGUUGUGUAGGGGUAAAAUCCGUAGAGAUAACUAGGAAUACCAAAAGCGAAGGCAAUCUUCUGGAACACUACUGACGCUGAGGCGCGAAGGCGUGGGGAGCAAACAGGAUUAGAAACCCGGGUAGUCC
This 274-nucleotide ribosomal RNA is filed under the name uncultured bacterium. Its description in RNAcentral is "partial 16S ribosomal RNA". It matches the Rfam family "Bacterial small subunit ribosomal RNA", at positions 523 to 796 of the family's 1533-position model. The record is from RNAcentral.